AAGGAGAAACCGGGAAUCUGAGACUGACUGUGACUUAAUGGUUCGCGUGAGGUGUCGCCACGAUCCUCCUCCAGUGCUUAUUUUGAGCCACCUUCUCGCUCUGAGAAGACUUCCCCGUGAUAAAAUGAGGUGUCCCGUUUGUAGCAGGAGAAAAAGUUUAUUGUGUUUUCUGCAAGACCUCCAGCAUCUGCGGUGGAUCUUUGGCUUUGCACAUCUUGCCCGUCCUGAGUUUCUGUGCCUAAAGAUGCCUUCAUGUCAGACGUCUUCCGUACAGCACUCAGAAUAGUGAUGCAGUGCUGAAAUCAGUGUGUCCGUGGUGGAUCAUCCGCCUGCCUGCUGAAGUGCUGGGAAUUCAUGACCUUCUGUUUGUUUCUGUCUCCUGGAAAUGAGUGUGUAGUGUGUUGCGAGACAAAUGAUGAGAACUCAUAAAAAUGCUAAAAUAUCUGUCUCUGCAGACAGAAGCCACUUUUCACAGACUUCUGGAAAGUGCUGAAAUGAAAACCUGACUCAGUGCAGGUGAGAAUGAGUUAGACAUCCACUGGCAUGAACAUGUGAUUUUAGUAUCAACUAUUACUGAUGUUAUCAUUUGAUUCCUUCCUGAGGAGGUCUUACAGUUCAGGACAACCUAUAUUUCAUCCAUAUUUUUCCAGAUCUAAAUUCUGUUUCAGAAGGCUUCUCAGGCAUAUCACAGAAUCACAGAAUUGUUGGAGUUGGAAGGGACCUCUAGAGAUCAUCUAGUCCAACUCCCCUGCUGAAGCAGGAUUGCCCAGAGCACAUUACUCAGGACUGCAUCCAGGCAGGUUCGAAAAUCUCCAGAGAAGGGGACUCCACAACCUCCCUGGGCAGCCUGUUCCAGGGCUCUGUCACCCUCACCAUAAAGAAGUUCUUCCUCAUAUUUGAAUGGAACUUCCUAUGUUCCAGCUUGUGCCCAUUGCCCCUCGUCCUAUCGCUGGAAACCACUGAAAAGAGUCCAGCUCCAUCAUCCUUCAACCCACCCUUUAGGAACUUGUAAACGUAGAUAAGGUCUCCCCUCAGUCUUCUCCAGGCUAAAGAGCCCCAGCUCUUUGAGCCUUUCCUCAUAAGGGAGGUGCUCCAAUCCCUUAAUCAUCUUAGUUGCCCUGCGUUGGACUCUCUCCAGUACUUAUCUUUGUUCAUGUAAGUAGUCUUACUCACAUGAGACCCUGCUAAAUCUGAGUCAAAUGUUCAGACAGCUUUGAUAAAACUCUGCUGGGCAAUGAACUUGUAUACUUUUAAGUUCUAAGAGGACUUUGAAAAUGUGAGAAACA
Molecule: long non-coding RNA, 1286 nt
Filed under: Calidris pugnax (ruff)
Lineage: Eukaryota; Metazoa; Chordata; Aves; Charadriiformes; Scolopacidae
Description: lncRNA (ENSCPUG00000003181.1)
Source: RNAcentral